GCGGUGGAGCAUGUGGUUUAAUUCGAAGCAACGCGAAGAACCUUACCAGGUCUUGACAUCCCGAUGCUAUUCUAGAGAUAGAAAGUUACUUCGGUACAUCGGUGACAGGUGGUGCAUGGUGUCGUCAGCUCGUGUCGUGAGAUGUUGGGUUAAGUCCCGCAACGAGCGCAACCCCUACGUUUAGUUGCUAACGCGUGAAGGCGAGCACUCUAGACGAACUGCCGUUGACAAAACGGAGGAAGGUGGGGAUGACGUCAAAUCAUCAUGCCCCUUAUGUUCUGGGCUACACACGUGCUACAAUGGCCGGUACAGACGGACGCAAAGCCGCGAGGUGGAGCAAAUCCUAAAAAGCCGGUCUCAGUUCGGAUUGCAGGCUGCAAUUCGCCUGCAUGAAGUCGGAAUCGCUAGUAAUCGCAGGUCAGCAUACUGCGGUGAAUACGUUCCCGGGCCUU
Molecule: ribosomal RNA, 452 nt
Filed under: uncultured Pelotomaculum sp.
Lineage: Bacteria; Bacillati; Bacillota; Clostridia; Eubacteriales; Desulfotomaculaceae
Description: bacterial SSU rRNA
Rfam family: Bacterial small subunit ribosomal RNA
Source: RNAcentral